UACGGGGGGGGCAAGCGUUGUUCGGAAUUACUGGGCGUAAAGGGCUCGUAGGUGGCCAACUAAGUCAGACGUGAAAUCCCUCGGCUUAACCGGGAACUGCGUCUGAUACUGGAUGGCUUGAGGUUGGGAGAGGGAUGCGGAAUUGCCAGGUGUAGCGGUGAAAUGGCGUAGAUAUCUGGAGGAACACCGGUGGCGAAGGCGGCAUCCUGGACCAAUUCGUGACGCUGAGGAGCGAAAGCCAGGGGAGCAAACGG
Molecule: ribosomal RNA, 254 nt
Filed under: uncultured bacterium
Lineage: Bacteria
Description: partial 16S ribosomal RNA
Rfam family: Bacterial small subunit ribosomal RNA
Source: RNAcentral